CCUACGGGAGGCAGCAGUGAGGAAUAUUGGUCAAUGGGCGGAAGCCUGAACCAGCCAAGUAGCGUGCAGGAUGACGGCCCUACGGGUUGUAAACUGCUUUUAUACGGGAAUAACGCGCCUUACGUGUAGGGCUUUGCAUGUACCGUAUGAAUAAGGACCGGCUAAUUCCGUGCCAGCAGCCGCGGUAAUACGGAAGGUCCGUGCGUUAUCCGGAUUUAUUGGGUUUAAAGGGAGCGUAGGCCGCAUGUCAAGCGUGCUGUGAAAUGUCCGGGCUCAACCCGGGCCUUGAAGCGCGAACUGGCGUGAGUGAGUACGCGGAAAGCAGGCGGAAUGCGUCGUGUAGAGGUGAAAUGCUUAGAUAUGACGAAGAACCCCGAUUGCGAAGGCAGCUUGCUGCAGCGGAACUGACGCUGAUGCUCGAAAGCGCGGGUAUCGAACAGGAUUAGAUACCCUGGUAGUC
This 460-nucleotide ribosomal RNA is filed under the name uncultured bacterium. Its description in RNAcentral is "partial 16S ribosomal RNA". It matches the Rfam family "Bacterial small subunit ribosomal RNA", at positions 338 to 795 of the family's 1533-position model. The record is from RNAcentral.